AUUGAACGCUGGCGGCAUGCCUUACACAUGCAAGUCGAACGGCAGCACGGGAGCAAUCCUGGUGGCGAGUGGCGAACGGGUGAGUAAUAUAUCGGAACGUGCCCAGUCGUGGGGGAUAACGCAGCGAAAGCUGUGCUAAUACCGCAUACGAUCUAAGGAUGAAAGCGGGGGAUCGCAAGACCUCGCGCGAUUGGAGCGGCCGAUAUCAGAUUAGCUAGUUGGUGGGGUAAAGGCCCACCAAGGCGACGAUCUGUAGCUGGUCUGAGAGGACGACCAGCCACACUGGAACUGAGACACGGUCCAGACUCCUACGGGAGGCAGCAGUGGGGAAUUUUGGACAAUGGGCGCAAGCCUGAUCCAGCAAUGCCGCGUGCAGGAUGAAGGCCUUCGGGUUGUAAACUGCUUUUGCACGGAACGAAACGGCCCUUUCUAAUACAGGGGGCUAAUGACGGUACCGUAAGAAUAAGCACCGGCUAACUACGUGCCAGCCGCCGCAGUAA
This 500-nucleotide ribosomal RNA is filed under the name uncultured bacterium. RNAcentral describes it as "partial 16S ribosomal RNA". It matches the Rfam family "Bacterial small subunit ribosomal RNA", at positions 30 to 523 of the family's 1533-position model. The record is from RNAcentral.